AAGCUUUUAAACUCCUGGAAGUUCUCCUCUGUGGGGCGAUAGUGGCCACUGUGAGGCCAAAUAGCCUGCCAACAAUAAAGUUCAGAGAAAGAGAAAGAGGAGCAGCAGCACCUUCCAAGCAGAGAAAGGGAAAGAAGACCAGCAACAUCCUCCAAGCAGCAGUACUCUACAAGCAGUAGCAGCACCACCACCACCUUCGAAGCAGAGAAAGAGAAAGAAGAGCAGCAGCGCCCUCCAAGCAAAGAAAGGGAAAGAAGACCAGCAACAUCCUCCAAGCAGCAGUACUCUACAAGCAGUAGCAGCACCACCACCACCUUCGAAGCAGAGAAAGAGAAAGAAGAGCAGCAGCGCCCUCCAAGCAAAGAAAGGAAAAGAAGCAGAGAAAGGGAAAGGAGCAAUUCCGUGCGUCCCUGCAAAGGUUGUGUUCAGCAGGAUAAUGGAAGCAGUUUGCAGGCCAGUAAUGUGUUAAAUUUCACACAAUCAUUUCCAUUGUUGAUGACCAGGAAGAGCAUAGGAUACGAGCACAGAUUGUGUGUAAACUCCAACAGAUUUGAUUACUGUAUAUGAAAGGAAAGGAUGAUGCAAUUUUUUUAUUA
Triticum dicoccoides is the source of this 596-nucleotide long non-coding RNA. RefSeq lists it as uncharacterized. The transcript has 2 exons. Lineage: Eukaryota; Viridiplantae; Streptophyta; Magnoliopsida; Poales; Poaceae. The record is from RefSeq and is a predicted model, not a curated record.